GACGAACGCUGGCGGCGUGCUUAACACAUGCAAGUCGAACGGAAAGGCCCUGCUUUUGUGGGGUGCUCGAGUGGCUAACGGGUGAGUAACACGUGAGUAACCUGCCCUUGACUUUGGGAUAACUUCAGGAAACUGGGGCUAAUACCGGAUAGGAGCUCCUGCUGCAUGGUGGGGGUUGGACAGUUUCGGCGGUUGGGGAUGGACUCGCGGCUUAUCAGCUUGUUGGUGGGGUAGUGGCUUACCAAGGCUUUGACGGGUAGCCGGCCUGAGAGGGUGACCGGCCACAUUGGGACGGAGAUACGGCCCAGACUCAUACGGGAGGCAGAAGUGGGGAAUAUUGCACAAUGGGCGGAAGCAUGAUGCAGCAACGCCGCGUGCGGGAUGACGGCCUUCGGGUUAUAAACCGCUUUCGCCUGUGAAGAAGAGUGAGUGACGGUAAUGGGUAAAGAAGCACCGGCUAACUACGUG
This 468-nucleotide ribosomal RNA is filed under the name uncultured bacterium. RNAcentral's name for it is "partial 16S ribosomal RNA". It matches the Rfam family "Bacterial small subunit ribosomal RNA", at positions 28 to 507 of the family's 1533-position model. The record is from RNAcentral.